Molecule: ribosomal RNA, 301 nt
Filed under: uncultured bacterium
Lineage: Bacteria
Description: partial 16S ribosomal RNA
Rfam family: Bacterial small subunit ribosomal RNA
Source: RNAcentral
CAGUAGCCACGGUAAUACCGAGGAUGCAAGCGUUAUUCGGAAUUACUGGGCGUAAAGCGUGCGCAGGCGGUUGUGUAAGACAGGUGUGAAAUCCCCGGGCUUAACCUGGGAACUGCGCUUGUGACUGCACAGCUAGAGUAUGGCAGAGGGGGGUGGAAUUCCACGUGUAGCAGUGAAAUGCGUAGAGAUGUGGAGGAACACCGAUGGCGAAGGCAGCCCCCUGGGCCAAUACUGACGCUCAUGCACGAAAGCGUGGGGAGCAAACAGGAUUAGAUACCCCUGUAGUCCCUGUCUCUUAUAC